RNAcentral lists this ribosomal RNA (253 nucleotides) under uncultured bacterium. RNAcentral's name for it is "partial 16S ribosomal RNA". It matches the Rfam family "Bacterial small subunit ribosomal RNA", at positions 524 to 776 of the family's 1533-position model. The record is from RNAcentral.
GACGAACCGUGCAAACGUUGUUCGGAUUCACUGGGCUUAAAGGGCGCGUAGGCGGCUUGCCAAGUCAGGGGUGAAAUACUUCGGCUCAACCGGAGAACAGCUUCUGAUACUGGCGAGCUGGAGGGAGGUAGGGGCAGAUGGAACUUCCGGUGGAGCGGUGAAAUGCGUAGAUAUCGGAAGGAACGCCGGUGGCGAAAGCGAUCUGCUGGACCUCUUCUGACGCUGAGGCGCGAAAGCCAGGGGAGCAAACGGG